RNAcentral lists this long non-coding RNA (252 nucleotides) under Amborella trichopoda. Its description in RNAcentral is "long non-coding RNA (ATRI_LNC000926)". Lineage: Eukaryota; Viridiplantae; Streptophyta; Magnoliopsida; Amborellales; Amborellaceae. The record is from RNAcentral.
GGUGGGUCGUGGUUAAAGACAGGGAGUUAGAGAGAGAAAGUAGUGACAGAGGUGGUGUAGCAGAGAGAUGGCUGCCGGGGCUGCCGGGUUCAGCAGAGUUGGUCUCAGGCAGGGAAGGGGCAGUGGCGACGCACGGAGCUGGGUGCACGUGACGGAGUUGUCGCACGUGGCAAUGGGUUGCUUGUCACGCAUGGCGAUAGACUCCAGUCGCACACGGUGAUGGAAAGAGGUCAGUCGCACAUAGCAUUGGGG